UACGGAGGAUGCAAGCGUUAUCCGGAAUGAUUGGGCGUAAAGCGUCCGCAGGUGGCUAUGUAAGUCUGCUGUUAAAGAGUCUAGCUCAACUAGAUAAGAGCAGUGGAAACUACAUGGCUAGAGUGCGUUCGGGGCAGAGGGAAUUCCUGGUGUAGCGGUGAAAUGCGUAGAGAUCAGGAAGAACACCGGUGGCGAAGGCGCUCUGCUAGGCCGCAACUGACACUGAGGGACGAAAGCGUGGGGAGCAAACAGG
Molecule: ribosomal RNA, 253 nt
Filed under: uncultured bacterium
Lineage: Bacteria
Description: partial 16S ribosomal RNA
Rfam family: Bacterial small subunit ribosomal RNA
Source: RNAcentral